Long non-coding RNA from Felis catus (domestic cat), 621 nucleotides. RefSeq lists it as uncharacterized. The transcript has 2 exons. NCBI's taxonomy places the organism in Eukaryota, Metazoa, Chordata, Mammalia, Carnivora, Felidae. The record is from RefSeq and is a predicted model, not a curated record.
CCUGGGUAUAAAAAUGACAAUGUUUCAUAACUAAAUCCUCCCUGAAGUAUGAUGUAAUUCACACACUUAAUUUCUUCAUCUGUCAUUCUGAGCCUAAGAGUGUGAGAAAAAGAAUGCCUGCCCUGUCUGCCUCAUGGAGCUUGGUGAAGAACAAGCGAGAUCACGUGCAAAAAACUCCUUGAAAACAAUACACUGCUUUAAGAUAUAAUGAUUAUGGCUAUAUGCUUGAAAUCAAUAUCACCUGGAGAUUGUUCUACCACUUUAUAUAUAAAUAUGAUUAAUUAUAAUUUCCAGUAUUGUAUUCCAUGGAAAUCCAAAGUGUUUUCUAGGAUCUUCCAGAACCUGGGAACUGACUGCCUCCUUGAUCCUUCCUCUGCAACAGCAGUCCAUUUUUGGACAUCAGGAGAAUUUUGGCUCUUUUCCAUUUUUCACAAAGCAAAAUAGUGAUCCAAGUGAUACAAAGCAUUAAUGAGUAUAGUAGUCUUUAGCAAAUAUUUGGUUGGCAUGAUCUCCUAAAUAGGGAAAUUUACACUAUGGUAAUGAAAUCGCUUAUAAUUCAGCACCAUUCAUCCCUGGUUCUUAAGUGUUUUGAGCAUACAAUAAAGAGAAAAUUCCACUGGC